Long non-coding RNA from Mustela erminea (ermine), 1239 nucleotides. RefSeq lists it as uncharacterized. The transcript is spliced from 3 exons. Lineage: Eukaryota; Metazoa; Chordata; Mammalia; Carnivora; Mustelidae. The record is from RefSeq and is a predicted model, not a curated record.
GGAUCCGCGGCCAGGCGCCCUUCUCCGGGGCGGGCGUGGUCACCCGCUGCCCGGUCCCGGGUGCGGGACUCUGGUCGUGGGGCGCGGGCUUUGGCCAGGGAAGAAGCUCACAGUGGGCGGCGGGGGCCGGGAGUGCGGAGACAGGGGAUCCUUCGCCCAUCUGUGCGCGCUCUGGGCGCCGCGUCCCGGGAGCCAGGGCCAAAGCCCCGCCGGCUGGGAGGGGAAGCUGCGGGCCAGGACUGGGCGGGAUCGGGAGAGCCUGCCCCGCCCCGCGCCGCUCCCGCGAGGCCCCGGCUGCAAGUCCCGGGCGCCGGGUUAUAAAAGCCGGCUAUGGCGGGUCUCACACCUGGGACUGGGCGCUCGCCAUGGCUUCAGGAGGGCUGUUCCCCGCGCCUGCCCGGAGAGGACACCGCGCCGCAGCUCCCGCCCUGAGAGCCGCUCCGAGUCCGUUGUCCCUGCAGCACCCCUUGGGCCCGCGCCCUGGGCGGUGCCGUGGGACAGGGGAGGCCCUGUAGUCGCCCACCUGCAACUGGCCCUGGCUCUCGAGGCGCGCCUGUGGCGGAGCGGCCAACCGCAGGUAGCGCUCCCCGCGGCGGGGGCCUCCCAGGAUCACAUAUUCGCCCCCUUCCCAGCGCGCACACGCGGCGCAGCCGGGUUCCACCUGCGCCCGCGCCGGGGGUGCCGGGUCCUGCCCCAGGUGCGGGCGGGACGCGAGGCACGAGGCUGGAAUCGCGGGCCCCUGUCGCCGGGCCCCUGUCGUCGAGGGGAAGAGCCAUCUUAAUCCCUGAGCCGCUGGGCGACCGAGAAGCACUUAGGCCCACCGCAACUUAAGGUGCAGGUUCUCCUCGCAGCCCCUCCGGUCACCUUCGGCCAAUCUGCACCACAUGCGAACUGAAACUGGCCACCCACGACCGUCCCGGCCCUGUCCUACCCACUCCUUCUGGCAGCCCGAGAUCUGCCACAAGGUCCAGGCCCUCGUGCUGUGGCUCCUGGAGCUUAAGAACAUUUUUUUACUUCUCCCAGACCACUUUUAACCUGGCUCUCACUCCUUCGGCCGCCUCCUGGUUUCAUUAAAGAUAAGAGAGUGAAUACUCUAAAAUGCCAUGAUUACUUCCUUGAGACUUGCUGCUGAAGUUAACCAAGAAGAGGAGUGACUUCCACAUGGAAAAGACUUCUUUAAAGCACUAGGGCUCUGGCUGUACCCCGAAUGAGCUGCUGAGGACGGAGCUGGCUAUCUUG